Molecule: long non-coding RNA, 711 nt
Organism: Micropterus salmoides (largemouth bass)
Lineage: Eukaryota; Metazoa; Chordata; Actinopteri; Centrarchiformes; Centrarchidae
Exons: 3
Source: RefSeq, a predicted model, not a curated record
AAAAAGUAAAUUCCCACAUGGUGUCUGCACAAAUCAGGGCAACAUUUAAGACCAUCUGUUCUUAACUUUCAUAAUGAGAAUAUUGAUUUGCCUAUGUGGUCACAGCAAAAGGUUUGGACACAUUUCAGCCUAUAUGGAGUUUUCUAGCACCAGCACUGUGAGUUAAUUUUUCCCAUUCCAUAUAUUUAUGCACAGGAUGUGAAUUGGGGAAUCAGAAUAGGAAUCAGAAUCGGCUUUAUUGCAAGGAAGUAGAAGCUGCAGCAGGAGCACGGACCGCAUGUUCAACCAGAUUCAGCAAUUACUGAAUAGAAAUGGAGCCCCUCACUGCCAAGACCAAAGAUAGUGUGUCAGCGCCCCCAACUGAGCAGGUCCCAGGGAAAGAGUCAGAACCCGUGAACCUCCUGCAGCAGACUCCCAACCGGAUGCCACAAAUGCAAGAUAAGGCUGAACAAACCCCACCGGGACUGGAGCCAGGACAUUUUCCAAUUCCUACGAUCCAGGAGACACCAGAGUUGGUACCAGAAACACCAAAAGACCAGAUGCCAAAAACCCAAGCAAAGGAGGUGAAGAAGCCCUAGCCAGGCCGGACCUGGCAUGUGCUCAAAAACCCAUCAUGCAGGUGGACCCAGGAGUUUGUGCCACAAACCGCAUCAGAAGAGGUGUUUAGGGUUUGUUCAUGUCCCUUGUUACAGGACAGUAAAAAACAGUGCC